Molecule: ribosomal RNA, 582 nt
Filed under: Herminiimonas sp. StRD357
Lineage: Bacteria; Pseudomonadati; Pseudomonadota; Betaproteobacteria; Burkholderiales; Oxalobacteraceae
Description: bacterial SSU rRNA
Rfam family: Bacterial small subunit ribosomal RNA
Source: RNAcentral
ACGGGUAAGUAAUAUAUCGGAACGUACCCUAGAGUGGGGGAUAACGCAGCGAAAGUUGCGCUAAUACCGCAUACGAUCUACGGAUGAAAGUGGGGGAUCGCAAGACCUCAUGCUCAUGGAGCGGCCGAUAUCUGAUUAGCUAGUUGGUGGGGUAAAAGCCUACCAAGGCAUCGAUCAGUAGCUGGUCUGAGAGGACGACCAGCCACACUGGAACUGAGACACGGUCCAGACUCCUACGGGAGGCAGCAGUGGGGAAUUUUGGACAAUGGGCGCAAGCCUGAUCCAGCAAUGCCGCGUGAGUGAAGAAGGCCUUCGGGUUGUAAAGCUCUUUUGUCAGGGAAGAAACGGUGAGGGCUAAUAUCCUUUGCUAAUGACGGUACCUGAAGAAUAAGCACCGGCUAACUACGUGCCAGCAGCCGCGGUAAUACGUAGGGUGCAAGCGUUAAUCGGAAUUACUGGGCGUAAAGCGUGCGCAGGCGGUUAUGUAAGUCAGAUGUGAAAUCCCCGGGCUCAACCUGGGAAUGGCAUUUGAGACUGCAUGGCUAGAGUGUGUCAGAGGGGGGUAGAAUUCCACGUGUAGCA